AGAUCAAAUUGUUGGUUGUGCCUUGGUACGUACUGGCAUUAUUGAUUUCUCCCUUCUGAAGAACCACGAUGUCAUUAAUUUGGUGUCAUGGGAAAUCAGGACUGUUACUUUGAAAAAAUUAGAGUGUUUAAAGCAGGCUCACGCUUGAAUACAUUAGCAUGGAAUAAUGAAAUAGGACGUUUGAUUCUAUUUUGUUGGUUUCUAGGAUCGACGUAAUGAUUAAUAGGGAUAGUUGGG
This 237-nucleotide ribosomal RNA is filed under the name uncultured Glomeromycotina. RNAcentral describes it as "partial small subunit ribosomal RNA". The stretch from base 46 to 237 matches the Rfam family "Eukaryotic small subunit ribosomal RNA", at positions 693 to 886 of the family's 1831-position model. The record is from RNAcentral. Lineage: Eukaryota; Fungi; Glomeromycota.